AGCAACUGGAAUAUUACUUUGAUCUGCACAGGAAAUAACAAUUUCAUCACAGGACUCAAACACUAAUCAAAGAAAUCAGCAAUACAAAAGAACAUUCAGGCAUACACCCGUAGUUUAAAUGGUAAUGGAUAAUUUUAACUGAAAUUCUAGACAUAUAAUAGCUAUGCAAUCAAAACAAGUUGAAGCAUAAUUAUAAUAGCAUAUGAACCACACUACAUAUCAUAAAUGUUCAUUAGAGAGAGAGAGAGUGCAGGUGUGUGUGCAUGCAUGUGAACACGUGUGACAGGAGAGUUCAAAAGAUGAAAAUGAGGCAGACUUAAAUGCCUGCUCCCAUUUCCAGGAAUACGCAAAGAAUAUGGAUUACAUAAAGAAUUCAACAAUACAUGCAAAUUCAUUAUAACAUGUUAGACAAAUUUAUUGGUUAGUCGAGUACCAAAUCCUAAUCUAACUGGAUCGUGAUCGCAAUGAAUGUGAAUACCAAAACAUGGAAAAAUAUAAGUUGGAAACAUGAGAGUCUAGAGUUCAUUCAUCUUUUGACACUAACACUAUUUUGCCAACUAUAGAAAACCAUAAGUACGUUAAAAACACUAAACUUUCCUUUCAGACAAUAGAUCACAGUCAAAGUAUAAGAGAAUUUCUGGCUCAAUCCACCCUCCAAUGUUAUUUGUAGAAAGGGCACUGAACUCAUUGACCACCACCUUCAACAUUUUUCUUUGCCAAAAUAAUUUUGGCCCUUAUUUUUAGAAUUCUAUAAACACCUUCUCUACUUCUUUUCUCCAAAAAGCAAGAGGUUUGGAAGUCCCCUAUACACCUCUCUCACCAUACUAGUUUUUGCCAAUCACUUUACUUCAUAACCCUUGGAUGAUUAUUAUAGUUAACUCAGAAAUAUUCUCAUGUAAAAUAACUCCCUU
Molecule: unclassified non-coding RNA, 911 nt
Filed under: Hevea brasiliensis (rubber tree)
Lineage: Eukaryota; Viridiplantae; Streptophyta; Magnoliopsida; Malpighiales; Euphorbiaceae
Source: RNAcentral